This 1249-nucleotide long non-coding RNA is filed under the name Oreochromis niloticus (Nile tilapia). RNAcentral describes it as "lncRNA (ENSONIG00000025789.2)". The record is from RNAcentral. Lineage: Eukaryota; Metazoa; Chordata; Actinopteri; Cichliformes; Cichlidae.
AGAUGGCAGCAUCUGUUUUGGCCAAAGGCAGAGGGGUGGCUGUUUUCAGCACCACCAAAGGCCUGUUCCUCAUGUUUACCCUGCUGUGUCUGUUUUGCCUUUCAACUUCGCUGACAAACAAGAACCAACUGGUAAACUAAUUUUCCAUAUUUUAAUAUGCAGCUGUUUUGUCAUGUACUAUGAAACUAUAUGAAAAUGUCUGUCAGCCAAUUCCAAACUAUAACCACAUGUUCACUGUCAAGGUGCAGGAAGUGUUCAAUGAAUGUUAUGAGAAAGCACAAGAAGAAAUGGAUGAACUGAUGGAGUACAAGUCAGACAUGUUGAAAGCUUCAGAGCUGGUAGAUGAUUAUCUGGCUGUCAUCGACCCAGUGAUAGCAGUGUUCAAGAAAACUGAUGCGCUGGUUGGUGAAACAGAUCCUGACACAGAUAUGGAGGACCUUAAGGUUUCCAUGGAAGAAACCAAAGCUGAAAUAGACCUCAUAAAUGAAGAGCUUGAUGAAGGAAUUACAUUGAAGGAAAAGCAACUAAGAAAGAUGAAGACAUUGAUCGAAUACAUUGAGGAGCAGCACACUGAACUGUAACUUUUAUGUAAACCGAUAAAAGUUAUGAUUCACAUGUGCUGCACACCUUUUACUAGAACUUCCUUUGAAACUAUGAAUUAUUUUUGCCUGUUUGAAAACUUGUAGUGAAUACAUUGAUACAAUUUAAAUACAACUAUCAAAAUAUUUGAAAAUAUAAACAAUGUCAAUGUAAAAUAAUACAAAAUAAAAACAUUUACUUUAUAUUGAUAUUCUGUUACUUAUGUCAGCGACAGACAAAACUAAUGACAGACAUCUUGACCUGGCAUAGGUUCAAUUGUCCUGGUAAGGCAUGAAAGUGAACUGCUCCCAAACAGAAUAUUUUUUCUGAAAUCUCUACGCCAUAAAUACAUUCCUGUUUUUGUCUUCUGUAAUGUCAGCUAUGAAAAUGGUCUAUACAUGAAUAACUAAGUUUUGUCUUCUAUAUUAGAUAAUAGAAACUGGGAUAAAUUAUAGGGUUUGUCUUCUUUUUAAGAAAUUGUUAAAACAUUCUGUACAUGAUUAGAUAAAUGCAUCUGUUCUGUGAAUAAAUGAAGGUUUCUUUAAAUUGUCUUACAUGUCUUUGAAAGACUGAAAUCCGCAACAGAUUGCAAAUCUAAAUCUAUGUUAGCUUAAGCCAUCUGAUCAGACCACUGAGGCUUGAGGGGAAAGCAAGAAGAAAGAAGAGAAAG